UAGUGCCUGAGGGCUUCGUCCAUGUUCGCGUCGGCCGUCGUCGCGUGUGCCACGAAGUUGACGCGCUGUCUCUU
Bombyx mori (domestic silkworm) is the source of this 74-nucleotide non-coding RNA. NCBI's taxonomy places the organism in Eukaryota, Metazoa, Arthropoda, Insecta, Lepidoptera, Bombycidae. The record is from RefSeq and is marked provisional.